CCUACGGGGGGCAGCAGUGAGGAAUAUUGGUCAAUGGGCGCUAGCCUGAACCAGCCAAGUAGCGUGAAGGAUGACUGCCCUAUGGGUUGUAAACUUCUUUUAUAUGGGAAUAAAGUGCAGUAUGUAUACUGCUUUGCAUGUACCUUAUGAAUAAGGAUCGGCUAACUCCGUGCCAGCAGCCGCGGUAAUACGGAGGAUUCGAGCGUUAUCCGGAUUUAUUGGGUUUAAAGGGAGCGUAGGCGGGUUGUUAAGUCAGUUGUGAAAGUUUGCGGCUCAACCGUAAAAUUGCAGUUGAUACUGGGCUCAGUGAGUACAGUAGAGGUAGGCGGAAUUCGUGGGGUAGCGGUGAAAUGCGUAGAGAUCGCGAGGAACAACGAUGGCGAAGGCGGCCUGCUGGACUGUAACUGACGCUGAUGCUCGAAAGUGUGGGUAUCAAACAGGAUUAGAUACACCUGGAGUC
This 460-nucleotide ribosomal RNA is filed under the name uncultured bacterium. RNAcentral's name for it is "partial 16S ribosomal RNA". It matches the Rfam family "Bacterial small subunit ribosomal RNA", at positions 338 to 795 of the family's 1533-position model. The record is from RNAcentral.